CAUCAUUGUGACAAUGCCUAGUGACAGGCAGAGUAACAUCAUCAGAACACUGAAGUUCGUCCUAGUGACAGGAUAAGUUAUGUCACUUGAACACUAACAUUUUGUCAUUGUGACAAUGCUCAGUGACAGGAAGAGUCACGUCAUCAGAACACUAACGUCAUCAUUGUGACAAUGCCUAGUGACAGAAAGAGUGACGUCACCAGAACACUAACGUCAUCAUUGUGACAAUGCCUAGUGACAGGCAGAGUAACAUCGUCAGAACACUGAAGUUCAUCCUAGUGACAGGAUAAGUUAUGUCACUUGAACACUAACAUUUUGUCAUUGUGACAAUGCUCAGUGACAGGAAGAGUCACUUCACCAAAACACUAAUGUCAUCAUUGUGACAAUGCCUAGUGACAGAAAGAGUCACAUCACCAGAACACUAAUGUCAUCAUUGUGACAAUCCCUAGUGACAGAAAGAGUCACGUCACCAGAACACUAACGUCAUCAUUGUGACAAUGCCUAGUGACAGGAAGAGUCACGUCACCAGAACACUAACGUCAUCAUUGUGACAAUGCCUAGUGACAGGCAGAGUAAUGUUGUCAGAGCACUGAAGUUCGUCCUAGUGACAGGAUAAGUUAUGUCACUUGAACACUAACAUUUUGUCAUUGUGACAAUGCUCAGUGACAGGAAGAGUCACGUCACCAGAACACUAACGUCAUCAUUGUGACAAUGCCUAGUGACAGGCAGAGUAACGUCGUCAGAGCACUGAAGUUCGUCCUAGUGACAGGAUAAGUUAUGUCACUUGAACACUAACAUUUUGUCAUUGUGACAAUGCUCAGUGACAGGAAGAGUCACGUCACCAGAACACUAACGUCAUCAUUGUGACAAUGCCUAGUGACAGGCAGAGUAACGUCGUCGGAGCACUGAAGUUCGUCCUAGUGACAGGAUAAGUUAUGUCACUUGAACACUAACAUUUUGUCAUUGUGACAAUGCUCAGUGACAGGAAAAGUAACGUCACCAGUACACUAACAUUUUGUCAUUGUGACAAUGCUCAGUGACAGGAAGAGUAACGUCGUCAGAGCACUGAAGUUCGUCCUAGUGACAGGAUAAGUUAUGUCACUUGAACACUAACAUUUUGUCAUUGUGACAAUGCUCAGUGAUAGGAAGAGUCAUAAAGAGAUUCAUAACUUCAACUAUCACUGUAGUGUAUGAAACCGACCACAAAGUUUCAGGACUACAAGUAUGGACAUGUCAAUCGAUUGUGCUUAUGGUUGUGUCCCUUGGCAGCGAUUUCAGAAAUUUAUCACAAAAAGUCACUGGAAGGACUCCUGAUCUGUUGAGAAGAAACAUUAUACAGGUUGUGAGUAAAGCUACGGAGACAGGGGUCAGGAAUAUAUAUUAAGCUCAUUUGUUUGGAUGGAUGCAGGAAUCAAGUGUUUGUGGUUUAACUGCCUGUAACUUGUCAGUGCUGAUACCAACAUAGCAAUCCUGUUGAUCUUGUUGACAUUUUAAGUGGGAGUGAAGUAGUGUCAGACCAAUAGAGAAAGUGUAGCUUUAAAAACAAUCAUUAUUGCCAAUACACUUAAUGUUUUUGUUAACAAUGACUGGGAAAUAUGCUUAUUAAAAAUACUGGUUUCAAAACAACCAAAUACACACCCUCAAUAAAUAAAUGGUGAUGUGGCCCAGCCAUAUUAAUGACAUGUAGAUCUCUGCUCACCAAAUAAAGUCAAUAAAACCAGUAUAUUGUUAUCAUGAUGUCACCCUAAUAAAACAGAUCUAGGUAUA
This is a long non-coding RNA of Ylistrum balloti, 1767 nucleotides long. RefSeq lists it as uncharacterized. The transcript is spliced from 3 exons. The record is from RefSeq and is a predicted model, not a curated record. NCBI's taxonomy places the organism in Eukaryota, Metazoa, Mollusca, Bivalvia, Pectinida, Pectinidae.